UACAUGGGGUGCAAACGUUGCUCGGAAUUAUUGGGCGUAAAGCGCACGUAGGCGGUUUGUUAAGUCGGAUGUGAAAUCCCUCGGCUCAACUGAGGAAGUGCAUCCGAAACUGGCAAGCUUGAGUACGAAAGAGGGUCGCGGAAUUCCCGGUGUAGAGGUGAAAUUCGUAGAUAUCGGGAGGAACACCGGUGGCGAAGGCGGUGACCUGGGUCGAUACUGACGCUGAGGUGCGAAAGCGUGGGGAGCAAACAGG
Molecule: ribosomal RNA, 253 nt
Filed under: uncultured bacterium
Lineage: Bacteria
Description: partial 16S ribosomal RNA
Rfam family: Bacterial small subunit ribosomal RNA
Source: RNAcentral